UUCGCAAUGCCCGAAAGGGUGACGAAGCGACGCCGCGUGUGGGAAGAAGGCCUUCGGGUUGUAAACCACUGUCGGGAGUUAAGAAAUACAAGGAUAUUAAUAGUGUCUUUGUUUGACUAAGGCUCCGGAGGAAGCCACGGCUAACUCUGUGCCAGCAGCCGCGGUAAUACAGAGGCGGCAAGCGUUGUUCGGAAUUAUUGGGCGUAAAGAGCACGUAGGCGGCUAUGUAAGUCGGUCGUGAAAGCCUUCCGCUCAACGGAAGAACAGCAUCCGAUACUACAUGGCUUGAGUGCGGGAGGGGAGAGUGGAACUUCUGGUGGAGCGGUGAAAUGCGUAGAUAUCAGAAGGAACGCCGGCGGCGAAAGCGGCUCUCUGGCCCAUAACUGACGCUGAGUGUGCGAAAGCUAGGGGAGCAAACGGGAUUAGAUACCCCGGUAGUCCUAGCCGUAAACGAUGGGCACUAAGUAGAGGGGUUUUA
This 478-nucleotide ribosomal RNA is filed under the name uncultured Planctomycetales bacterium. RNAcentral describes it as "bacterial SSU rRNA". It matches the Rfam family "Bacterial small subunit ribosomal RNA", at positions 365 to 833 of the family's 1533-position model. Lineage: Bacteria; Pseudomonadati; Planctomycetota; Planctomycetia; Planctomycetales. The record is from RNAcentral.